CCCUUCUGGAAUCUCCCCAACAAAAACCAACCCAAACCCACUUUUCUUUACCCCCCCCCCAGCCUAAUCCGUUGUUAGUCUUUCCACAUCAUUAUUAGCUCCACUACUGACCAACCAAAGCCACAGUGAGUCUUUCCUGAUUUGGGUCUUUCUGGGUUUUGGAUCUAAGUUUAAAAGAUUCUGGCUUUGGAUUGGAUGUGAGGGCUGGCUGGCUUAUAAUCUGUUGGGGUUUUGCGUAGAAAUAUGAGAGUAGUGGAAAUCACUGCAACUAAUUAUGCGAACACUUUGUGACGCUUGUGAAAGCGCAGCCGCGAUCGUUUUCUGUGCUGCCGACGAAGCUGCUCUUUGCCGUGCCUGUGAUGAAAAAGUGCAUUUGUGCAAUAAGCUUGCUAGCCGACAUGUUCGGGUUGGUCUGGCAACUCCCAGUGCAGUUCCCCGCUGUGAUAUUUGUGAAAAUGCACCCGCUUUCUUCUAUUGCGAGAUAGAUGGGAGUUCCCUUUGUUUGCAAUGUGAUAUGGUUGUUCAUGUUGGAGGUAAAAGAACACACGGAAGAUAUCUGGUACUGAGACAAAGAGUUGAGUUUCCAGGGGAUAAACCUAGUAGUAACGGUGAAGACCCAGCAUCCCAGCCCCCCAUUGACCAAGGUGAGACCAGAAGAGUACAACAUCAGCAACCAAGAAUGACAAUUGGAGAGAACCAUCAAAAUCACAGGGCAUCUCCUAUUCGUCUAGCAGAUGCCAAUGAUGAUGGGCAUGUAAAGAUGGAUAAUAAGUUAAUUGAUUUGAACAUGAAGCCUAAUCGGAUGCAUGGACAAGCUUCAAAUAAAGAGGAACUUUUUUGCAUUCCUAGUAAAUGGUAUACACAGAUCUCAGCAGAGUGAAAAUUACCACCUGGAGUGGACUAUUAGACAUGAUCAAGAUCAUCAUUGCUUAUUAGUGGCAUGACAAAAUUGGACCAAUAGUGGCGUAUUUGGAAGCAUGGUCAGUACUUACUUUCACUAGUAGCCAGAAGGGCAAUUCAUCUACACCUUGGCUAUCUGCUACUUCAUGAGGAACUCGCUCCUUUAUCUUCCCUUCUCCUGUUAAGUGACCCUUAUGGUCAUUAAGGGUUAAAGAGUGUUUACCAUUCAGUAGUUUAGUUGUGCAGGAUAUAUCCGAUAUAGUUGGUUACUCGGAAAGCAUGCAAAACUUGCUCCGAAAGCAAAAUACUGUUAUUUACUGCUGCUGAUCUCCAUUGUUCAAAUCUAUGCAAGUGCUUGUAUUGUUGUAA
RNA transcript from Rosa rugosa (rugosa rose), 1269 nucleotides. It is a transcript of the gene named B-box zinc finger protein 19-like, with no coding region annotated. Lineage: Eukaryota; Viridiplantae; Streptophyta; Magnoliopsida; Rosales; Rosaceae. The transcript has 6 exons. The record is from RefSeq and is a predicted model, not a curated record.